Long non-coding RNA from Octopus sinensis (East Asian common octopus), 580 nucleotides. RefSeq lists it as uncharacterized. NCBI's taxonomy places the organism in Eukaryota, Metazoa, Mollusca, Cephalopoda, Octopoda, Octopodidae. The transcript has 2 exons. The record is from RefSeq and is a predicted model, not a curated record.
UUAGUAAGUACCAGUUGUGUACUGGGGUCAAUGUAAUCAACUUAUUCACCUCCCACAAAAUUUCAGGACUUGUGCUUCCAGUAGAAAGGAUUAUUAUUAUUAUUAUUAUCUUUAUCUUUGCUGUAAGGGUGAUGACAGAUCCACCAACAUCAUCAUCAUAGCAAGUGGUCCAAUUAGGGAAAGGAAAUUUCCAUAUGGGCUGCGUCCAUGCUAGAAACGGUAGCCAAAUCUACCCUCUGCUAUCUUAUAAACAGCAGGAUUGCAAUGCUAGGUACACUAUGUUUCAAAUAUAAGGGAAAAAAAAAAGAAAGAGAAUAAGAAGGGGACAUACUGGUCAUUGCUCUGGAAUGCGUUGGGUCAGAACUGGUAUCUGAAGUUAAUCAUCAUCAUCAUCACCAUGACCAUUCCAAAUAUGUUUUCGACAAAAUCUAAAGGACCCAAGGACUGCAUCAUGCUACAUCAGCUUCGGUAUAGUUUCUAUGACUGGAUGACCUUUCUAAUGCCGACCACAAAACAGCAUGCACCGAGUACUUUAUCUUGUAGCACUGGCACUCAGGAGGUUACCAUGGUGUUAGCAAAA